AGGACGAACGCUGGCGGCGUGCUUAACACAUGCAAGUCGAACGAGGUGCUUCGGCACUUAGUGGCGAACGGGUGAGUAACACGUGAGCAACCUGCCCUUGGCUCUGGGAUAGCCUCCGGAAACGGGGAUUAAUACCGGACAUGACCUGCUCCUGCAUGGGGGCGGGUGGAAAGUUUUUCGGCCAGGGAGGGGCUCGCGGCCUAUCAGCUUGUUGGGGGGUAACGGCCCACCAAGGCGACGACGGGUAG
Molecule: ribosomal RNA, 248 nt
Filed under: uncultured bacterium
Lineage: Bacteria
Description: partial small subunit ribosomal RNA
Rfam family: Bacterial small subunit ribosomal RNA
Source: RNAcentral